This 253-nucleotide ribosomal RNA is filed under the name uncultured bacterium. RNAcentral's name for it is "partial 16S ribosomal RNA". It matches the Rfam family "Bacterial small subunit ribosomal RNA", at positions 524 to 776 of the family's 1533-position model. The record is from RNAcentral.
UACGUAGGGUGCAAGCGUUGUCCGGAAUUAUUGGGCGUAAAGAGCUCGUAGGCGGUCUGUUGCGUCGGCUGUGAAAACCCGGGGCUCAACUCCGGGCCUGCAGCCGAUACGGGCAGACUAGAGUUCGGCAGGGGAGACUGGAAUUCCCGGUGUAGCGGUGAAAUGCGCAGAUAUCGGGAGGAACACCGGUGGCGAAGGCGGCUCACUGGACCGGUACUGACGCUGAUGCGCGAAAGCGUGGGGAGCAAACGGG